AGCUGUUCAUGUUUGAAUCUCCUCUUUGAUUCUCCAGUUUGAGCCUUGACAUAUGAAUGCAGCCUGUUUUUAAUCAGGACAUGGACUGAUUGGAUCAAAGUUAUUAGUUUUGCCUGGAGGCAAAAGUUUUUCAGUCAGUAAAGUUUCUUUUGAAGUAUCAGAAUUUGCUUAAGCAGAGGCUAAGGAAAAAAUAAUAUGAGUAUUCAAAACUAAACAAGUAUCACUCAGUUCAUCAAUAAACUCUCUAAUGAGGCUGAAGAUAAGGACACAACAUUGAAAAACUGAGAAACAGCUCGUUAGGAAAUAACUACCCAAAACACCAGAAGAGGCCAAAGAAAGACUUGAUUUCCACUCAGCUCCAGGAUGCCAACUCCUGAAUCUGACAAUAAUACCAUCUAACGAAGGGCUAAAGACCAAGCCAUACAAGCACGCUGUGUACAAAGCUGCCCAUGGCUGAAGAAAGAUCAUUGAUUCACUACAUCUCAUUUGGGAAUUUCCCUCAUCUUCCGGGUCUGAUUUGUACUGUAAAUAUUCAGAGACAAAAAGCACUAGAAUUCCUGGAGUCUUCCACUGCCAAUGGAUAUGAUCGUUUCAAGAGACAGCUAUGGGAUGGCAUGUAGUUUACAGCAAGUUUACUCUAGGUCUUUGGAACACAGGCAUGAAGAUCGUUGUUCCUUUAUAGGUAGCAGUCAGGAUGUGAAAGCUUGCCAGCUUGGUCUGGAAAUUACUUUGUGGCUAGAACUGGACACUUAUUUUCUAGUGCACAAGAUCUUGAAGAGUUUCCAGCUGCACAAGAC
RNAcentral lists this long non-coding RNA (797 nucleotides) under Gallus gallus (chicken). RNAcentral's name for it is "lncRNA (ENSGALG00010010691.1)". The record is from RNAcentral. Lineage: Eukaryota; Metazoa; Chordata; Aves; Galliformes; Phasianidae.